AUAAGAUUCGGGAGAUUAUUAUUAUUAUAAGAUUAAAGGAGAUUAAGGAUUAAGGAUAAAAUGCGAGAAAAGUGUCUCAGGGUUUGAGGCCUAGUUUGGAACUUGGAGCCAGAGUUCCUGCUGGAAUUCUGAGAUCCUGAGAAGGGUUGGAGUUUCCACCUGUCAGAGUCUCUGGAAUCUGAGCUUGGCUCUGGAGGCUGGUGGUUGUUGGAUCUCUGGGAUUUUCCUUGAAAACCUUGGGAAUACCAGAUUGACAGUUUGGAAGAGAAAAAAUGCAAGUUCCCUACCAAAUUCUAUAUGGAAUAGCUGCAUCAACUAAACAAAGUAAUGGAACCAGUAUGUGUUCUACCUCCCCCUCCUCUCAAUGGAACAGGAGAUGGGGGACAAUUGGCGUGGACCACUAUAUAUACUAUUAACACAGGCAACAUGUUGGUUAGUAUUUCUGAACAGUAUGUUUCUUUUUUUUUUCUUUUUGUUUAAAAUAUUUGGCUAUCUGGGGAGAGAUUUAUUUGGAAAUCAAUGUGAUAUAAAAAUAAAAAAUACUAUACCUCAGUAAUAAUAUGAUAAAAACCGUUUCAAAAUUGCACAUUUAUGUUAUUAGUAAUUUUCUACUUUUGACUUGCGUGAGAUCAUAUUUACAAUGGAAAGACUGAAAACAAAACCCCAAA
Molecule: long non-coding RNA, 668 nt
Filed under: Monodelphis domestica (gray short-tailed opossum)
Lineage: Eukaryota; Metazoa; Chordata; Mammalia; Didelphimorphia; Didelphidae
Description: lncRNA (ENSMODG00000040939.1)
Source: RNAcentral